RNAcentral lists this ribosomal RNA (253 nucleotides) under uncultured bacterium. RNAcentral describes it as "partial 16S ribosomal RNA". It matches the Rfam family "Bacterial small subunit ribosomal RNA", at positions 524 to 776 of the family's 1533-position model. The record is from RNAcentral.
UACGUAGGGUGCAGGCGCUAAUCGGAAUUACUGGGCGUAAAGCGUGCGCAGGCGGUUUGCUAAGACAGGUGUGAAAUCCCCGGGCUUAACCUGGGAACUGCGCUUGUAACUGGCAAGCUAGAGUGUGGCAGAGGGGGGUGGAAUUCCACGUGUAGCAGUGAAAUGCGUAGAGAUGUGGAGGAACACCGAUGGCGAAGGCAGCCCCCUGGGCUAACACUGACGCUCAUGCACGAAAGCGUGGGGAGCAAACAGG